UACGGGAGGCAGCAGUGAGGAAUAUUGGUCAAUGGGCGAGAGCCUGAACCAGCCAAGUAGCGUGCAGGAUGACGGCCCUAUGGGUUGUAAACUCCUUUUAUAAGGGGAUAAAUUGCGGGACGUGUCCCUCUUUGUAGGUCCCGAAUAAAUAAGGGCCGACUAAUUCCGUGCCCGCAGGCGCGGUAAUACGGAAGGUCCGGGCGUUUUCCGGAUUUAUUGGGUUUAAAGGGAGGGUAGGCCGGUUUGUAAGAGGGUUGAGAAAUUUGCUGGCUCAACCGGUAACUUGCAGAACAAACUGGAUAGCGUGAGUGUGAGGAAGGUGGGCGGAAUUGGUUGUGUAGCGGUGAAAUGGUUAGAUAUGGGGAAGAACUCCGAUUGAGAAGGCAGCUGGCGGGAGCAUUACUGACAGUGAAGCUAGAAAGGGGGGGUAUCGAACAGGAUUAGAUACCCUGGUCGUCCGCACAGUAAACGAUGGAUGCCCGCUGUUUUCACAUAGCUGCAAGCGGCCAAGCGAACGCGNUAGUUUCCGCUGGAUC
RNAcentral lists this ribosomal RNA (536 nucleotides) under uncultured Bacteroidota bacterium. Its description in RNAcentral is "bacterial SSU rRNA". It matches the Rfam family "Bacterial small subunit ribosomal RNA", at positions 340 to 873 of the family's 1533-position model. Lineage: Bacteria; Pseudomonadati; Bacteroidota. The record is from RNAcentral.